Molecule: unclassified non-coding RNA, 327 nt
Filed under: Bombus terrestris (buff-tailed bumblebee)
Lineage: Eukaryota; Metazoa; Arthropoda; Insecta; Hymenoptera; Apidae
Description: misc RNA ENSBTSG00005022141.1
Source: RNAcentral
CGCAUAAUUUUCGACAAAAUCAAGUAAUGAUUGCGAUUUUCGUGUGUCUAGACUUGUUUCGACGCUGGAGAACAGGUGCAUUACGUGCUGCAUGUAAAGUAGAGUGAAAAAAGCGUUUAACCGUCGAAAUAUCUCAAACGGGAGGGUAAUAUCUCUUAAUUUUCGUCAAAAUCGAAGAAUGGUUGCGAUUUGCGUGUGUCUGGGUUUGUUUCGCAGCUGGAAAACGCGUGCAGUACGUUCUGCAUUUAGAAUGGAGUGAAACGAGCGUUUAAACGUCCAAAUAUCACAAACGGGAGGGAAAUAGUGCUUUAUUUUCGACAAAAUCGU